RNAcentral lists this ribosomal RNA (253 nucleotides) under uncultured bacterium. Its description in RNAcentral is "partial 16S ribosomal RNA". It matches the Rfam family "Bacterial small subunit ribosomal RNA", at positions 524 to 776 of the family's 1533-position model. The record is from RNAcentral.
UACGUAGGUGGCAAGCGUUGUCCGGAUUUACUGGGCGUAAAGGGCGUGCAGGCGGUUUGUUAAGUGCAGGGUGAAAGCUCCCGGCUCAACUGGGAGAGGUCCUUGCAUACUGGCAGACUUGAGGGAGGCAGAGGAAAGUGGAAUUCCCGGUGUAGUGGUGAUAUGCGUAGAGAUGUGGAGGAACACCGAUGGCGAAGGCAGCCUCCUGGGCCAGCACUGACGCUCAUGCACGAAAGCGUGGGGAGCAAACAGG